ACGGAAGGCAGCAGUGGGGAAUAUUGGACAAUGGGGGGAACCCUGAUCUAGCGACGCCGCGUGAGUGAAGAAGUAUUUCGGUAUGUAAAGCUCUAUCAGCAGGGAAGAAAAUGACGGUACCUGACUAAGAAGCCCCGGCUAACUACGUGCCAGCAGCCGCGGUAAUACGUAGGGGGCAAGCGUUAUCCGGAUUUACUGGGUGUAAAGGGAGCGUAGACGGCAAUGCAAGUCUGAAGUGAAAUCCCGCGGCUCAACUGCGGAGCUGCUUUGGAAACUGCAUAGCUGGAGUGUCGGAGAGGUGAGUGGAAUUCCCAGUGUAGCGGUGAAAUGCGUAGAUAUUGGGAGGAACACCGGAGGCGAAGGCGGCUCACUGGACGAUAACUGACGUUGAGGCUCGAAAGCGUGGGGAGCAAACAGGAUUAGAUACCCUGGUA
RNAcentral lists this ribosomal RNA (434 nucleotides) under uncultured Lachnospiraceae bacterium. RNAcentral's name for it is "partial 16S ribosomal RNA". It matches the Rfam family "Bacterial small subunit ribosomal RNA", at positions 341 to 792 of the family's 1533-position model. The record is from RNAcentral. Lineage: Bacteria; Bacillati; Bacillota; Clostridia; Lachnospirales; Lachnospiraceae.